Molecule: ribosomal RNA, 660 nt
Filed under: uncultured Gammaproteobacteria bacterium
Lineage: Bacteria; Pseudomonadati; Pseudomonadota; Gammaproteobacteria
Description: bacterial SSU rRNA
Rfam family: Bacterial small subunit ribosomal RNA
Source: RNAcentral
GGCAUGCUUAACACAUGCAAGUCGAACGGUAACAGGCCGCUGUGAUCUCUUCGGAGUGAACUUGGCGCUGACGAGUGGCGGACGGGUGAGUAAUGCAUAGGAAUCUACCCAGUAGUGGGGGAUAACGUGAAGAAAUUCACGCUAAUACCGCAUAUGUUCUACGGAACAAAGCAGGGGACCUUCGGGCCUUGCGCUAUUGGAUGAGCCUAUGUUGGAUUAGCUUGUUGGUGGGGUAAAGGCCUACCAAGGCGACGAUCCAUAGCUGGUCUGAGAGGAUGAUCAGCCACACUGGGACUGAGACACGGCCCAGACUCCUACGGGAGGCAGCAGUGGGGAAUAUUGCACAAUGGGCGCAAGCCUGAUGCAGCAAUGCCGCGUGUGUGAAGAAGGCCUGCGGGUUGUAAAGCACUUUUAUUAGGAAAGAAAAACCCAGAGUUAAUACCUCUGGUCUUGACGGUACCUAAAGAAUAAGCACCGGCUAACUCAGUGCCAGCAGCCGCGGUAAUACUGAGGGUGCAAGCGUUAAUCGGAAUUACUGGGCGUAAAGCGAGUGUAGGCGGCUAUUUAAGUCGGAUGUGAAAUCCCCGGGCUCAACCUGGGAAUUGCAUUCGAUACUGGAUAGCUAGAAUUUGGUAGAGGUAAGUGGAAUUCCGGGUGUAG